This 254-nucleotide ribosomal RNA is filed under the name uncultured bacterium. RNAcentral's name for it is "partial 16S ribosomal RNA". It matches the Rfam family "Bacterial small subunit ribosomal RNA", at positions 524 to 776 of the family's 1533-position model. The record is from RNAcentral.
CACGUAGGAGGCGAGCGUUGUUCGGAUUUACUGGGCGUAAAGGGCGCGUAGGCGGCCAGCACAAGUCAGUUGUGAAAUCUCCGAGCUUAACUCGGAAAGGUCAACUGAUACUGUGCGGCUAGAGUGCAGAAGGGGCAACUGGAAUUCUUGGUGUAGCGGUGAAAUGCGUAGAUAUCAAGAGGAACACCUGCGGCGAAGGCGGGUUGCUGGGCUGACACUGACGCUGAGGCGCGAAAGCUAGGGGAGCGAACGGG